CCCGGACCAAGGCGCCCGCCGGAGGACCAACCAAAACUCUUUUUGUAUACCCCCUCGCGGGUUUUUUAUAAUCUGAGCCUUCUCGGCGCCUCUCGUAGGCGUUUCGAAAAUGAAUCAAAACUUUCAACAACGGAUCUCUUGGUUCUGGCAUCGAUGAAGAACGCAGCGAAAUGCGAUAAGUAAUGUGAAUUGCAGAAUUCAGUGAAUCAUCGAAUCUUUGAACGCACAUUGCGCCCGCCAGUAUUCUGGCGGGCAUGCCUGUCCGAGCGUCAUUUCAACCCUCGAACCCCUCCGGGGGGUCGGCGUUGGGGAUCGGCCCUCCCUUAGCGGGUGGCCGUCUCCGAAAUACAGUGGCGGUCUCGCCGCAGCCUCUCCUGCGCAGUAGUUUGCACACUCGCAUCGGGAGCGCGGCGCGUCCACAGCCGUUAAACACCCAACUUCUGAAAUGUUGACCUCGGAUCAGGUAGGAAUACCCGCUGAACUUAAGCAUAUCAAUA
This 497-nucleotide unclassified non-coding RNA is filed under the name Trichoderma harzianum. Its description in RNAcentral is "sequence contains ITS1, 5.8S rRNA gene and ITS2". The stretch from base 119 to 272 matches the Rfam family "5.8S ribosomal RNA". Lineage: Eukaryota; Fungi; Ascomycota; Sordariomycetes; Hypocreales; Hypocreaceae. The record is from RNAcentral.